Molecule: ribosomal RNA, 253 nt
Filed under: Clostridioides difficile
Lineage: Bacteria; Bacillati; Bacillota; Clostridia; Peptostreptococcales; Peptostreptococcaceae
Description: partial 16S ribosomal RNA
Rfam family: Bacterial small subunit ribosomal RNA
Source: RNAcentral
GCAUGUGGUUUAAUUCGAAGCAACGCGAAGAACCUUACCUAAGCUUGACAUCCCAAUGACAUCUCCUUAAUCGGAGAGUUCCCUUCGGGGACAUUGGUGACAGGUGGUGCAUGGUUGUCGUCAGCUCGUGUCGUGAGAUGUUGGGUUAAGUCCCGCAACGAGCGCAACCCUUGUCUUUAGUUGCCAUCAUUAAGUUGGGCACUCUAGAGAGACUGCCAGGGAUAACCUGGAGGAAGGUGGGGAUGACGUCAAA